This 613-nucleotide long non-coding RNA is filed under the name Elaeis guineensis (African oil palm). RNAcentral describes it as "long non-coding RNA (EGUI_LNC031463)". The record is from RNAcentral. Lineage: Eukaryota; Viridiplantae; Streptophyta; Magnoliopsida; Arecales; Arecaceae.
GCAUAAUUACAAAUUAAAUUUCUUCAAUCUUCUGAUCAGAUACUAUGACACUCUAUUUAUACAUCUGCUCAUCCGCAAUCCAAACCAUAGCCAAUCAUAAGCAUCUUGUAUCUCUGAGAAGAAAAAAAAGAUAAAGAGGUGUGAGCUUUACAGCCCAAUAAGAAUUUUCAUAUCACACCGAUAUAAUAAUAUAAUCUGAAAAUAAGAAUAAACAAUAAAACAUAAAAUUUCAUGUUCAAUAUCCGGAAUAAUUCAAACAUCUAUAAUUUAUCUGUCUUGUCAAAAGAAAUGCAUCAUCAUAUAUUAACAAGUGAAACACUUUUGUUCAACAAUUGUUUCAUGUCUUAUCUUUCAUUUCUCUUUUCAUAAUCACAUGAUUUUUAACCUUUUCUUUCUGGCUCUGGACUAAUCAAGUCUAUAUCUCAGUCAUUACCUGAAUCAAUUUUCACUUAAAAGCCUUUCAAAGCUGUCUCAAGAUGAGCUCCUGGCCGGCUGUCCCACGUACGAAAGCCCAUGAGAGGCUGUCCCAGGCAUAAGCUCCUGGCGGGCUAUCCCAGGCAUAAGCUCCUGGCCGGCUGAUCUACCUAUAAGCCAGUGGGGGCUGUCCCAGGCA